AGCUCCGAUAGCGUAUAUUAAAGUUGUUGCAGUUAAAAAGCUCGUAGUUGGAUUUCGAGCGUGUUUGCGCAUUUGGUCCGCCGAAAUGGUGUGUACCUGUGUGCCGCGCUUUUCCUUCUCAUUGUGACCCGGCGUGAUUAAUUUCGCGCCGUUUGGUCGCAUGAGAUCGUUUACUUUGAAAAAAUUAGAUCGCUCCAAGAAGGCAAGUUUACAGCCGUUGAAUAAUCUACCAUGGGAUAAUGGAAUAGGACUUUCAUCUUAUUUUGUUGGUUUUCGAGAUGAAGGUAAUGAUUAAUAGGGACAGUCGGGGAUAUCAGUAUUUGCCUGUCAGAGGUGAAAUUCUAAGACCAGGUGAAGACUAACUACUGCGAAAGCAUUUAUCAAGGAUGUUUUCAUUAAU
This 400-nucleotide ribosomal RNA is filed under the name phytoplankton environmental sample. Its description in RNAcentral is "partial small subunit ribosomal RNA". It matches the Rfam family "Eukaryotic small subunit ribosomal RNA", at positions 587 to 977 of the family's 1831-position model. The record is from RNAcentral.